Molecule: transfer RNA, 70 nt
Filed under: Planocera reticulata
Lineage: Eukaryota; Metazoa; Platyhelminthes; Polycladida; Planoceridae
Description: tRNA-asparagine
Source: RNAcentral
UAAGGGAUAGUAUAAAACUAAUUAUAUAAAGCUGUUAACUUUAAGAUGUGCUGUAAUAGCACUCUCUUAG